This 1390-nucleotide ribosomal RNA is filed under the name human gut metagenome. Its description in RNAcentral is "bacterial SSU rRNA". It matches the Rfam family "Bacterial small subunit ribosomal RNA", at positions 40 to 1386 of the family's 1533-position model. The record is from RNAcentral.
CGGUGUGCCUAAUACAUGCAAGUCGUACGCACUGGCCCAACUGAUUGAUGGUGCUUGCACCUAAUUGACGUUGGAUCACCAGUGAGUGGCGGACGGGUGAGUAACACGUAGGUAACCUGCCCCGGAGCGGGGGAUAACAUUUGGAAACAGAUGCUAAUACCGCAUAACAACAAAAGCCACAUGGCUUUUGUCUGAAAGAUGGCUUUGGCUAUCACUCUGGGAUGGACCUGCGGUGCAUUAGCUAGUUGGUAAGGUAACGGCUUACCAAGGCGAUGAUGCAUAGCCGAGUUGAGAGACUGAUCGGCCACAAUGGAACUGAGACACGGUCCAUACUCCUACGGGAGGCUGCAGUAGGGAAUCUUCCACAAUGGACGCAAGUCUGAUGGAGCAACGCCGCGUGAGUGAAGAAGGCUUUCGGGUCGUAAAACUCUGUUGUUGGAGAAGAAUGGUCGGCAGAGUAACUGUUCACGCAGUGACGGUAUCCAACCAGAAAGUCACGGCUAACUACGUGCCAGCAGCCGCGGUAAUACGUAGGUGGCAAGCGUUAUCCGGAUUUAUUGGGCGUAAAGCGAGCGCAGGCGGUUUUUUAAGUCUGAUGUGAAAGCCCUUGGCUUAACCGAGGAAGUGCAUCGGAAACUGGGAAACUUGAGUGCAGAAGAGGACAGUGGAACUCCAUGUGUAGCGGUGAAAUGCGUAGAUAUUAGGAAGAACACCAGUGGCGAAGGCGACUUUCUGGACGAAAACUGACGCUGAGGCGCGAAAGCCAGGGGAGCGAACGGGAUUAGAUACCCUGGUAGUCCACGCCGUAAACGAUGAAUACUAGGUGUAGGGGUUGUCAUGACCUCUGUGCCGCCGCUAACGCAUUAAGUAUUCCGCCUGGGGAGUACGGUCGCAAGAAUGAAACUCAAAGGAAUUGACGGGGGCCCGCACAAGCGGCGGAGCAUGCGGAUUAAUUCGAUGCAACGCGAAGAACCUUACCAGGUCUUGACAUCUUUUGAUCACCUGAGAGAAUGUAUGUUCCCUCCGGGGCAGCAGAGACAGGUGGUGCAUGGUUGUCGUCAGCUCGUGUCGUGAGAUGUUGGGUUAAGUCCCGCAACGAGCGCAACCCCUGCCCCCAGUAGCCAGCGCGCAAGGGCGGGCACUCUGGGGGGACUGCCAGGGACAACCUGGAGGAAGGCGGGGAUGACGUCAAAUCAUCAUGCCCCUUAUGGCCUGGGCUACACACGUGCUACAAUGGCGCCCACAAAGGGAGGCGAAAUGGCGACAUGGAGCAAACCCCGGAAAAGGCGCCCCAGUUCGGAUUGCAGCCUGCAACUCGGCUGCAUGAAGCCGGAAUCGCUAGUAAUCGCGGAUCAGAAUGCCGCGGUGAAUACGUUCCCGGGUCUUGCAC